UUCCUACGGGAGGCAGCAGUGAGGAAUAUUGGUCAAUGGGCUAAGGCCUGAACCAGCCAAGUCGCGUGAGGGAAGACGGUCCUAUGGAUUGUAAACCUCUUUUGCCGGGGAGCAAAAAGCGGUACGUGUACCGCAUCGAGAGUACCCGGAGAAAAAGCAUCGGCUAACUCCGUGCCAGCAGCCGCGGUAAUACGGAGGAUGCGAGCGUUAUCCGGAUUUAUUGGGUUUAAAGGGUGCGCAGGCGGAUUUUUA
Molecule: ribosomal RNA, 252 nt
Filed under: uncultured bacterium
Lineage: Bacteria
Description: partial 16S ribosomal RNA
Rfam family: Bacterial small subunit ribosomal RNA
Source: RNAcentral